RNAcentral lists this ribosomal RNA (493 nucleotides) under uncultured bacterium. RNAcentral's name for it is "bacterial SSU rRNA". It matches the Rfam family "Bacterial small subunit ribosomal RNA", at positions 903 to 1397 of the family's 1533-position model. The record is from RNAcentral.
AAAGGAAUUGACGGGGACCCGCACAAGCAGCGGAGCAUGUGGUUUAAUUCGAAGCAACGCGAAAAACCUUACCAAGACUUGACAUCGCAUGAAAGCCAUAGAGAUAUGGCCCUCCCUUCGGGGACAUGUAGACAGGUGGUGCAUGGUUGUCGUCAGCUCGUGUCGUGAGAUGUUGGGUUAAGUCCCGCAACGAGCGCAACCCUUAUCAAUAGUUGCCAAUAUUAAGUUAGGAACUCUAUUGAGACUGCCGUGGAUAACACGGAGGAAGGUGAGGAUGACGUCAAAUCAUCAUGCCCCUUACGUCUUGGGCUACACACGUGCUACAAUGGCUAUUACAAAGAGCCGCAAGCUGGUAACAGUAAGCAAAUCUCAUAAAGAUAGUCUCAGUUCGGAUUGUGGGCUGCAACUCGCCCACAUGAAGUCGGAGUUGCUAGUAAUCCCGAAUCAGAACGUCGGGGUGAAUGCGUUCCCGGGUCUUGUACACACCGCCCGU